This 205-nucleotide non-coding RNA is filed under the name Lacrimispora saccharolytica. RNAcentral's name for it is "Clostridium saccharolyticum T-box sequence". It matches the Rfam family "T-box leader". From Rfam's summary of the family: Uncharged tRNA acts as the effector for transcription antitermination of genes in the T-box leader family. T-boxes are found upstream of many aminoacyl-tRNA synthetase genes and some amino acid biosynthetic genes usually in Gram-positive bacteria. The anticodon of a specific tRNA base pairs to a specifier sequence within the T-box motif, and the NCCA acceptor tail of the tRNA base pairs to a conserved bulge in the T-box antiterminator hairpin. The record is from RNAcentral. Lineage: Bacteria; Bacillati; Bacillota; Clostridia; Lachnospirales; Lachnospiraceae.
AACAAGACGUUGAAGAGGAUCAGUAAGUGAUGAUGUAUUCCAGAGAGAAGGCCGGAUGGUGGAAGGCCUUUAUACCUCUCAUGACCCAACCUCCCUCGGAGUCCCGCAGCAAACUGCGGCGCAGUCCUGCGUUAUGGGAGAUAAAGUGAGUCAUGGCAUUCUAUGGCUAAAUUGGGUGGCACCGCCGAGCUGUUCGGUCCCUUUC